This 752-nucleotide ribosomal RNA is filed under the name Sphaeralcea ambigua. RNAcentral describes it as "eukaryotic LSU rRNA". The stretch from base 331 to 486 matches the Rfam family "5.8S ribosomal RNA". Lineage: Eukaryota; Viridiplantae; Streptophyta; Magnoliopsida; Malvales; Malvaceae. The record is from RNAcentral.
GUUUCCGUAGGUGAACUGCGGAAGGAUCAUUGUCGAAACCUGCCUAGCAGAACGACCCGUGAACGUGAUAUCAAACAACUCCACGAGGGGGUGCGGAUGCAUCUUAGCCCCAAAGCCCCUCGGUGCCUUGGUGUGCUUGCCUUUGCCCCAUCCACUCUCGGGCGGUUGAGUUGCAAGGUCUCGUCAUACUCCAAGGCAAAACGAACAACCCCCGGCGUGAAUUGCGCCAAGGAUUUGAAAAAUGAAAAGAGUGCACGUUUGCUGUCGCCGUCCCGUACGCGGUGUCUGUGCGACAGUGACGUUGUUACUUUUGUCGUGAAAAUACAAAACGACUCUCGGCAACGGAUAUCUCGGCUCUCGCAUCGAUGAAGAACGUAGCGAAAUGCGAUACUUGGUGUGAAUUGCAGAAUCCCGUGAACCAUCGAGUCUUUGAACGCAAGUUGCGCCCCAAGCCAUUAGGCCGAGGGCACGUCUGCCUGGGUGUCACGCAUCGUCGCCCCCAUCAAACCAUUAGUCCUCGGGCUACGGUUGAACUGUGGGCGGAAAUUGGCCUCCCGUGUGCUCACCGCUCGCGGUUGGCCUAAAAUUGAGUCCUCGGCGAUGAAGUGCCGCGACAAUCGGUGGGAAUGCUUUUAGCUGCCUCGUUCGGAGUCGUGUGCACUCGUCGAUUUGGACCCUCUGACCCUUUUUGGCAUUGCAACGUCGAUGCUCGCAUCGCGACCCCAGGUCAGGGGGAUUACCCCGCUGAGUUU